Molecule: long non-coding RNA, 482 nt
Organism: Pseudopipra pipra
Lineage: Eukaryota; Metazoa; Chordata; Aves; Passeriformes; Pipridae
Exons: 2
Source: RefSeq, a predicted model, not a curated record
UCACUUGCAAAGUACAUUAUGGGGCUCCUUUGUUUAACAAGUCUCUGGGAGCUGUGAGAGAGAGAAUUAAUGCUGGCAUUUGGAAAGACAAGCGAUAGUGCUGCAUUGGAUUUGGGUUUCAUGUCAUUAUUUUCUGGUUCUAGAGUCAGAAAAAGCUGCUCAUUUACUUUUCAUGCAGCUGUACUGUUUUUUCCUGACUUCUUGAGGAGGCAGAGCUGAUGAAAUCGUGCUGUAGGAGACAGUUUCUCAGUUAAAUGCAUUUUAUUUUGACCUAUUUCCUUCCACUUGAGUCUAACAUUUGGUCUCUUCAUAGCCAAUAUUCUGUUUUAUGGAAAGGUUUUAAAGUUUUCCUGAAGGAGAUGAGUAAAAGCAAUCGAGAAAUGCCCUACAGUGCUCCCUGCACACAGGAGACAAGAAUGCAGAUGGUUAUGGAAACAGGCUUGAAACUUGCUUGAAAUAAAAAUCUCCGUUCUAUACUUGUG